Molecule: ribosomal RNA, 460 nt
Filed under: uncultured bacterium
Lineage: Bacteria
Description: partial 16S ribosomal RNA
Rfam family: Bacterial small subunit ribosomal RNA
Source: RNAcentral
CCUACGAGAGGCAGCAGUGAGGAAUAUUGGUCAAUGGGCGCUAGCCUGAACCAGCCAAGUAGCGUGAAGGAUGACUGCCAUAUGGGUUGUAAACUUCUUUUAUAUGGGAAUAAAGUGCAGUAUGUAUACUGCUUUGCAUGUACCUUAUGAAUAAGGAUCGGAUAACUCCGUUCCAGCAGCCGCGGUAAUACGGAGGAGCCGAGCGUUAUCCGGAUUUAUUGGGGUUAAAGGGAGCGUAGGCGGGUUGUUAAGUCAGUUGUUAAAGUUUGCGGCUCAACCGUAAAAUUGCAGUUGAUACUGGCAUCCUUGAGUACAGUAGAGGUAGGCGGAAUUCGUGGUGUAGCGGUGACAUGCUUAGAUAUCACGAAGAACUCCGAUUGCGAAGGCAGCCUGCUGGACUGUAACUGACGCUGAUGCUCGAAAGUGUGGGUAUCAAACAGGAUUAGAUACCCCAGUAGUC